Long non-coding RNA from Athene cunicularia (burrowing owl), 400 nucleotides. RefSeq lists it as uncharacterized. The transcript has 3 exons. The record is from RefSeq and is a predicted model, not a curated record. Lineage: Eukaryota; Metazoa; Chordata; Aves; Strigiformes; Strigidae.
CUUCAAAUGUGUAGAUGUACAUGAAACCUGUUAGCUUACUUCUGUUUUCCUAGCUGAUAUGCAUACUCUGUUUGGAAGAAAAUGGAGUUUUGUUUGUUUGAGGAAGGAGCAGAGGAAAGACAGGAUCAGAGGAAGCACUGGAGGAGGUGUGACUGAAUAUGCUAGAGAAGCUGGAGAAGCAGAGGUGAAAUAAAGAGGCUUUUCAGUGGAUGGUAGAAGGAAGAAAAUCAUCUCUCCUUGCUGUCUGAAGUAAGAAUGGAAGUAUUCUGAAGGGACAUUGUAAGAACUUCAUUUAGCACCAUGGAUGGUUUCACAUUCUCUCUUGCAUCUUAAUGAGGUAAGCAUCACCUCAAGGAUUGCAGUGAGUGUGUAAUGACUUUUAAAGCAUUGGUAGGAUCCG